Molecule: ribosomal RNA, 461 nt
Filed under: uncultured bacterium
Lineage: Bacteria
Description: partial 16S ribosomal RNA
Rfam family: Bacterial small subunit ribosomal RNA
Source: RNAcentral
CCUACGGGCGGCAGCAGUGAGGAAUAUUGGUCAAUGGACGAGAGUCUGAACCAGCCAAGUAGCGUGAAGGAUGACUGCCCUAUGGGUUGUAAACUUCUUUUAUAAAGGAAUAAAACGCGGCACGUGUGCCUUUUUCCAUGUACUUUAUGAAUAAGGAUCGGCUAACUCCGUGCCAGCAGCCGCGGUAAUACGGAGGUUCCGAGCGUUAUCCGGAUUUAUUGGGUUUUAAGGGUGCGUAGGCUGUGAGGUAAGUCAGCGGGGAAAUGCCCCCGCUCAACGGGGUGAAGUGCCAUUGAUACUGUCUGGCUGGAAUGCGGGUGCCGUGGGAGGAAUGUGUGGUGUAGCGGGGAAAUGCAUAGAUAUCACACAGAACACCGAUUGCGAAGGCAGCUCACGAAGCCGCGAUUGACGCUGAUGCACGAAAGCGUGGGUAUCAAACAGGAUUAGAUACCCUUGUAGUC